RNAcentral lists this non-coding RNA (97 nucleotides) under chicken gut metagenome. Its description in RNAcentral is "NiCo riboswitch". It matches the Rfam family "NiCo (Nickel/Cobalt) riboswitch aptamer". The record is from RNAcentral.
ACAGUACAAACUGAACAGGUCAUAAAUAUUGUGUUUAUGGAGUCGGGUCGUUUUUUAUACGGCAGCAGAUGAUAGUCAUACACAUCUGUGGGACAGU